Molecule: long non-coding RNA, 263 nt
Filed under: Ananas comosus (pineapple)
Lineage: Eukaryota; Viridiplantae; Streptophyta; Magnoliopsida; Poales; Bromeliaceae
Description: long non-coding RNA (ACOM_LNC014105)
Source: RNAcentral
AUAUAUAUAUAUAUAUAUAGAGUAGGACUAGAAUACUUUUACAAGUAUCACCUAAGUGAUACUUGUGUGUUUCUAGCCCUUGGAUGGAGAGAUGGGAGGUUGAGAUGAUGGGGGUAGGUGGUGGUAGGUGGAAUAGUGUUUGAUCCAAGGGCUAUUUGUAAUCAAAAAGUAGAUCCAAUGGCUAAAAAGGUGAUAGCAACUUGGGGAUGAUACUUGUAAAAGUAUCCUAGAUCAACUCUCUCUCUCUCUCUCUCUCUCUCUCU